RNAcentral lists this ribosomal RNA (498 nucleotides) under uncultured bacterium. Its description in RNAcentral is "bacterial SSU rRNA". It matches the Rfam family "Bacterial small subunit ribosomal RNA", at positions 28 to 479 of the family's 1533-position model. The record is from RNAcentral.
GAUGAACGCUGGCGGCGUGCCUAAUACAUGCAAGUCGAACGCAUUGUGGUUGAAAUGAUAUGAAGAACUUGUUCAGAUUUGAUUUUCAACAUUGCAAUGAGUGGCGAACGGGUGAGUAACACGUGGGAAACCUACCUCUUAGCAGGGGAUAACAUUUGGAAACAAAUGCUAAUACCGUAUAAUAAUUAAAACCGCAUGGUUUUAGUUUAAAAGAUGGUCUUGCUAUCACUAAGAGAUGGUCCCGCGGUGUAUUAGUUAGUUGGUGAGGUAAUGGCUCACCAAGACAAUGAUACAUAGCCGAGUUGAGAGACUGACCGGCCACAAUGGGACUGAGACACGGCCCAUACUCCUACGGGAGGCAGCAGUAGGGAAUCUUCCACAAUGGACGAAAGUCUGAUGGAGCAACGCCGCGUGUGUGAUGAAGGGUUUCGGCUCGUAAAACACUAGUUGUAAGAGAAGAAUGACAUUGAGAGUAACUGUUCAAUGUGUGACGGUAUU